GUUGAUCCUGCCAGUAUUAUAUGCUGAUGUUAAAGAUUAAGCCAUGCAUGUGUAAGUAUAAAGACCAAGUAGGAUGAAACUGCGGACGGCUCAUUAUAACAGUAAUAGUUUCUUUGGUUAGUAAAAUACAAGGAUAGCUUUGUGAAUGAUAAAGAUAAUACUUGAGACGAUCCAGUUUGUAUUAGUACAAAAUGGCCAAUUCAUUCAAUGAAUUGAGAAAUGACAUUCUAAGUGAGUUAGGAUGCCACGACAAUUGUAGAACACACAGUGUUUAACAAGUAACCAAUGAGAAUUUCUGAUCUAUCAAUCAGUUGGUAGUAUCGAGGACUACCAAGAUUAUAACGGAUAACGAGGAAUUGGGGUUCGACAUCGGAGAGGGAGCUUUACAGAUGGCUACCACUUCUAAGGAAGGCAGCAGGCGCGUAAAUUACCCACUUUCGAAUUGAAGAGGUAGUGACGACACAUAACUCUAGAGUUGAGUAAAAUCAAUUCUUGAAGGAAUGAGUAGGAGGUAAAUUCUCCUACGAAAUCAAUUGGAGGGCAAGUCUGGUGCCAGCAGCCGCGGUAAUUCCAGCUCCAAUAGUG
RNAcentral lists this ribosomal RNA (585 nucleotides) under Entamoeba histolytica. RNAcentral describes it as "SSU rRNA". It matches the Rfam family "Eukaryotic small subunit ribosomal RNA", at positions 7 to 599 of the family's 1831-position model. The record is from RNAcentral. Lineage: Eukaryota; Evosea; Mastigamoebida; Endamoebidae.